GCCAGGCACAGUGGUUAUGUGCCUGUAGUCCCAGCUACUCAGGAAGCUGAGGUGGGAGGAUCACUUGAGCCCAGGAGUUCUGGAGUAUAGUGUGCUAUGCUGAUUGGAUGUCCACACUAAGUUCGGCAUCAGUAUGGUGACCUCCAGGGUCGGGAGGACCACGAGGUUACCUAAGGAAGGGUGAACCAGCCCAGGUCGGAAACGUAGCAGGUCAAAACUCCCAUGCUUAUCAGUAGUGGGAUUGCGCCUGUGAAUAGCCACUGCACUCCAGCCUGGGCAACAUAGCGAGACUCGGUCUCU
RNAcentral lists this signal recognition particle RNA (300 nucleotides) under Saimiri boliviensis boliviensis (Bolivian squirrel monkey). Its description in RNAcentral is "Metazoan signal recognition particle RNA (ENSSBOG00000015881.1)". It matches the Rfam family "Metazoan signal recognition particle RNA". From Rfam's summary of the family: The signal recognition particle (SRP) is a universally conserved ribonucleoprotein. It is involved in the co-translational targeting of proteins to membranes. Lineage: Eukaryota; Metazoa; Chordata; Mammalia; Primates; Cebidae. The record is from RNAcentral.